AAACUCUGGAGAAUCCCUAUUUUGGGUGCCGAAGGUGCAAGGUCGCAAGACCGAAUCUCUCAGGCCAAAGGACAGAGCGG
RNAcentral lists this non-coding RNA (80 nucleotides) under human gut metagenome. Its description in RNAcentral is "Glycine riboswitch". It matches the Rfam family "Glycine riboswitch aptamer", at positions 9 to 86 of the family's 94-position model. From Rfam's summary of the family: This family represents the bacterial glycine riboswitch. Glycine riboswitches usually consist of two metabolite-binding aptamers domains with similar structures in tandem. RNAcentral also lists the same sequence under 1 other name. The record is from RNAcentral.